RNAcentral lists this transfer RNA (72 nucleotides) under Camelus bactrianus (Bactrian camel). It matches the Rfam family "tRNA". From Rfam's summary of the family: Transfer RNA (tRNA) molecules are approximately 80 nucleotides in length. Their secondary structure includes four short double-helical elements and three loops (D, anti-codon, and T loops). Further hydrogen bonds mediate the characteristic L-shaped molecular structure. tRNAs have two regions of fundamental functional importance: the anti-codon, which is responsible for specific mRNA codon recognition, and the 3' end, to which the tRNAs corresponding amino acid is attached (by aminoacyl-tRNA synthetases). tRNAs cope with the degeneracy of the genetic code in two manners: having more than one tRNA (with a specific anti-codon) for a particular amino acid; and 'wobble' base-pairing, i.e. permitting non-standard base-pairing at the 3rd anti-codon position. Lineage: Eukaryota; Metazoa; Chordata; Mammalia; Artiodactyla; Camelidae. The record is from Rfam by way of RNAcentral. RNAcentral also lists the same sequence under 3 other names.
GGGGGUAUAGCUCAGUGGUAGAGCUCAUGCUUAGCAUUCACGAGGUCCUGGGUUCAAUCCCCAGUACCUCCA